Molecule: small nucleolar RNA, 92 nt
Organism: Myiozetetes cayanensis
Lineage: Eukaryota; Metazoa; Chordata; Aves; Passeriformes; Tyrannidae
Source: RefSeq, a predicted model, not a curated record
CGGCCCCCAUGAUGGCAGCACUGGGCUCUGAACCCCCUGACAGACGCCUGUGCCCCCAGGGACUUUUGACACCCCGGGAGUCUGAGAGGCCC